RNAcentral lists this ribosomal RNA (421 nucleotides) under uncultured bacterium. Its description in RNAcentral is "bacterial SSU rRNA". It matches the Rfam family "Bacterial small subunit ribosomal RNA", at positions 355 to 773 of the family's 1533-position model. The record is from RNAcentral.
UGAGGAAUAUUGGACAAUGGGCGCAAGCCUGAUCCAGCCAUGCCGCGUGCAGGAAGAAGCAUCUAUGGUGUGUAAACUGCUUUUGUACGGGAGGAAACACUCCUUCGUGAAGGAGCUUGACGGUACCGUAAGAAUAAGGAUCGGCUAACUCCGUGCCAGCAGCCGCGGUAAUACGGAGGAUCCAAGCGUUAUCCGGAAUCAUUGGGUUUAAAAGGUCCGUAGGCGGUUUAGUAAGUCAGUGGUGAAAGCCCAUCGCUCAACGAUGGAACGGCCAUUGAUACUGCUAGACUUGAAUUAUUAAGAAGUAACUAGAAUAUGGAGUGUAGCGGCGAAAUGCUUAGAUAUCGCAUGGAAUACCAAUUGCGAAGGCAGGUUACUACUAAUGGAUUGACGCUGAUGGACGAAAGCGUGGGGAGCGAAC